This is a long non-coding RNA of Acinonyx jubatus (cheetah), 5194 nucleotides long. RefSeq lists it as uncharacterized. NCBI's taxonomy places the organism in Eukaryota, Metazoa, Chordata, Mammalia, Carnivora, Felidae. The transcript has 5 exons. The record is from RefSeq and is a predicted model, not a curated record.
CCGGCGGGGGAGCGGAAAGCCUGCGCCUGGGCGGAGCCCAGGUACGCGGGGCGCGCUCCCGGCGGCGGGAUGGCUGGACCCGGUUCCGAAACCUGGCGGCUGGUUUGCAGGAUUCCGACUGGAUCCCUUGUCUCCCCCUGCGCUGGGUCGGCGUCGGAGGGGGCUCUGCGGCGGGGUGGCGCGCACCAGGCGCUCGGCCUCAACUAGGCCUCCUCGCCCCCAAAGUGGCCUAAAUUCGCCUCCGGAACCCGGAAGGCCCUUAGCAAGCACAGACUUAAUGGGCGCUGUUUACAAAAAUUAACUGCUGUUUUCGAAGCGCCUGCGACGAGUGAGGGGCCGUACGCAGAAUACCCUUGAACAGGACGGCGUUACUGUUCCCACUGGACAGAAGGGAACACCGAGUUUCCCAGAGCUCGGGUGCCCGGGCCCCGCUCAGGGCGGCUGUCUUCCUCCUCGGGGCUGGAUGCGGGACACUCGAGUCCCUGAGACCCCGGUGGGGAGGGUCCGUGGCGGCGCCCGCGCGUGCGCCCAGGCUCCGCGCCAGCCGCCAACGUGUCUCCGCCUCUAAGGGCGCCGGAAGGUCAGGGUAGGGGUAAGAGGGUGGCUGGCGGGGUCCUAAACCCUAGCACCUGCCCGCCCCUGGCCCUCUCGCGGUGGGCCAUUCAGACCUACGCGCCCUUGUUUCUCGACCUCCGUGUGCGCCCCCACCCCCACGCCAGGCAGUCUUCUCUCCCUUUCUGCCGCGGUGCCACUCGAAGCCCCUCUCUGGGGUGCAGGGGUGUUGUCCUCACCCUCUGAACAGGACGCGGGCCGGCCUGGGCUCUGGGUGUGGUCUCAGCACAGCCUGGAAACUAAUGCCACCUGGUCUUGUGGUGGGUGUUGUGGGAGAAAGCGUACGUAAAAUGCUCCUUAAGUGAUUCCGUGCUACUGGUGUGUCCUGUCCCUGUCCCUGACCCUUGCCCCACUCAGAGGCCAUUCUGUAGCCAUAGAGGUCCCCUGCCCGGCUUCAAAUUAUAUGAUACCUUCCCUAACCACUUAGAGACGCAGGAAGACCCUACUUAUCUCUCUGAGCCACUUCUGUCUCUGUCCCUGCGCUUCAACCCGUCUGGCCUGAAACACUCUGCCCCUGCCCCUCACACAGCUGCCCUCUUCUUGUCACCGGCUCAGGUGGCGUCUUAGACCGGCCUUCAUUCUGUCACUGUCUUCAUGCACGUGUCAGCAUUGGAAAGCAUCUUACUCUCCUGUCGGUGUCUCUGCCCGCCCGGCUUGUGCAUCCCAUGAGAGUGGACACGUUCCCUGCCUCCUUCCGGGCACCUGCCUGCCACUCAGCAAAUGUAUGUUGAAUGAAUGAUCUCUGCUUGGGCGUUUCUGGAAGCUUUCUGAAGCUGUGUCAACCGGCCUGGCUGCAGUAUUGGUCAUGCACUUCAGCACACCAUACCUUCUCAGGUCUGAGUUACAGCAGUGGAAAUGCUGACUCCAGGCCUUAUUUUGUGGUUAGAGAUGCUCCCCAUUUGUAGCAGCAUAGGGUAGUACUAUCCUCUCUGGCUGCUGCAUGUUCAGACUUACUGGCCUCCUGCCUUUCUCGGAACACAGCCAAAUUCCUUCUUCCAGUUCUCUGGUCCGGUGCUCACACCAGAUGGAGUCCAGUGCAGUAAAUGCGGCUGAUUAGAUGUCUGACUUUGGAGUCAAGUCUCUGUUUGGCUCUACAUGCGCUUGAAUCCUACUCUCAGCUACUUUUGGUGUGACUUUGGAGAGUUGCUCAAACUAUGUGCCACAGGCUCUUUCUCUGCAAAAUAGAGAUGGUAAUUCACAGAGCUGCUGUGAGGAUUAAAUGAGAUAGUACAUAUAAAACUUCUGGAACGUAGGCUUUAUACCCAGCACAGAGCCCAUUUCAGGGCUUGAACUCAAGACCCUGAGAUUAUGACCUGAGCUGAAAUCAAGAGUCGGAAGUUUAACUGAAAGAGCCACCCAUGCACCCCUGAAAUGAGAAUCUUGAGCAACAGGAUGUUUUCUGGUGUGCUCCAUGCCAGGCUCCUGCAGCUGGCACCUGGCUUUCCCAGCACCAGCUCCCAAAGCACCAGAAACUUCCCUAACAUCCAGUGUCUGCAAUGCAUGAUGGUCAGCAACACACAGCCACCAGCAGCUUCUUGGCACCCCGCUUGGGUGGCUUUAUAUUGGAGUGUUCCUGGUGCGGACGGCUUUCUCCUGCACCCAAGACGGUGGAUUUCUGGGAAGCUCCAGCAACUUCUCCUGCAGCAGAACCUCUGUGACUAUUGUGCCAUCCUGGGAAACACCACACAGGCAAGGCUGGAGCCAUCUUGGGAGACACCACCACAGACAAGGCUGGAUCCCAUCCCCUCUGUUUUCUGAGAUUCUGCAUCCACAAAUAUCCCAUCUCCUGCUCCAGCAUUUUCUACCUUUUCACUAACUCGCUGUUGUCUCUUCUAGGGCGAUGACCCAGCUAUCACUCACCCUCCAGGCUUGCCUGGUGAUGAGUCAGCUGACUUUUAAAGCUCCAGGAUCCAAGUCCCACUGGCUUUAAAAACUCAGCCUGUCUGGUUUUUAAAGCCAAACAUUAUGGGGACUAGUUUUCCCCAUAUGAGCUUCCUCCUGCAAGGACCAGUUUCUCUGCCCUCCUCGUGUGCACAAGGCCCUCCAUCUGCCUCCAUCUCCGACCUUCCAAAACCUUCAGGUGCAGCUUCUUCUCUAAUUUAGUUGUGGACUUUGUUCUCUCAGUGUUUGCAUUGUGCUCUGAUUUAUUGACUUGGGUGUGCAUGAUACCUGGCUGUAAACGUGGGAUGGGGUUACCUCAGGGUCCUCCUACUCUGCCAUCUUCCCAAGCUCCCCAGAGUGGACCUGUGAUCCAGGGUGGUCAUAUCCAGAGACCACUCAUACCAGCUUUCAUGAUUUAGAUUAUGACAGUUGGGUCUUUGGAGCUGAUGAUAUAGAGAUGAGAUUUUGAACUUGAGUUGAUGAUGUAAGGGCUUGCGACUUUUAGGAAUGUUAGGAUGGGGUGAAUAUAUUUUGCAUAUGGAGUGGACAUAAAUUUUGGGGAGCCAGAGGGUAGAGUGUGGUAGGUUGAAUAAUGGGCUUCAAAGGUAUCAGUGUCCUAAUCCCCAGAACCCGUGACUGUUUUCUUCGAUGACAAAAAGGACUUUGUGGAUGUGAUUAAGUCAAUGAUCUGAAGAUGAGGAGAAUGGCCUGGAUUGUCCAGGUGGGCCCUGGAUGCAACCACAAGCGUCAUUGUAAGAAGAAUGAAAUUUGACUGAGGAAGAGAAGACUUGAGUGGUGUGAGCAUGGGAGGAGCCAUAAGCUGAGGGACACAGGUAGCCCUUGGACUCUGAAAAAGGUAAAGAAAUGGAUGCUCCCCUCAGAAUCUCUAGAAGGAAGCAGCUCUACUGACAUCUUGCUGUCAGUCCUAUAAGACUCAUUGUUAUGACUUUAAAGUUAACUGCAACACAGAAUGCCACACGGUGAGCUGUGGUUUAACAGACCCCAAGAGUAAUGGAGAUAGAGACGUUCACUACUCAUAAGCCCUGGAGUAGGUGCAUGGCAAACCUCAGGGAGCCACAGGGGGAGGUCAAGUUAGAGUGAAGAUGGAGAAGGAGGCAGGAUCUGGGGAGCCUGCCUUUGUUAGGGCUCAGGCGUGGAUGCUUUGGGGGUUCCCAGACUAAGGCUGGAUUUUCAAACCAGAUCAGUUGCAUACUGGUAAGCCCCAUGGUGGUCUUGCCUAUGAGGCACACAGUGUCAUGGCCCUGGGAGGCAGGAGAGACUGUUGAUCAUGAGCACUGUUGAGGAAGUCAUGGCAGAAAUUUACAUUUCCUGCAACUCUGCAGGCUGCUGUGUAGGGCAUGCACAUGUAUGAGGGCCGAGUGUCACUUUAUCGUCCCUGCAGGCUUUGGCCAAAGACAACGGAUGCUGAGGCAGCAAUACCUGGAUAGCUUAGCUACAGUCUUGACACUAACUUAGAUUUCUGGCCCCCAGAGAGAAUAAAUUUCAUGUUGUUUUAAGCCAUAAAGUUUGUGGUAGCUUGUGACAGCACCAGGAGAUGAAUACAGCUGACCACUGUUUUUUUUUAAACUUUUUUUUUUACAUUUAUUUAUAUUUGAGAGAUAGAGAGCAUGACCUGGGAGAGGCAGAAAGAGAGGGAGACACAGAAUAUGAAGCAGGGUCCAGGCUCCGAGCUGUCAGCACAGAGCCCGACGCAGGGCUCAAAGCCAUGGACUGAGAGAUCAUGACCUGAACCAAAGUCAGAUGCUUAACCAACUGAGCCACCCAGGCACCCCUGCUGACCACUGGUUUAAUGGGAACCUUGCUUCCAGUGGGGCAGCCCUCAGGGCCCGUCUUCCAGUUGAUGCUGUGUGUGAGCCUCAAAGUAGGCAUUGCACCAUUUUAUGAAGACAGCUUCUUCUAGGUGAUGGGACAUGUGUUAAGGUCAGUGAAUUCAAUGGACAUGAGUCUGUUUGCACAUUUCCUUUGUUCCAAAAUAUGUCCCUUGUCAGAUGAGAUGCUGUUUAGAGUACCAUGGUGAUGGUAAGUUUACAAUUGUAAAGCUUGUGGACCAGUCAUAAAAGGAAAAUACCUUAUAAAGUAGGUAUAUCUGCUGGAAACAGUUAAUAGGACUGAGAUGCUCAAACCCUGCACGUUUCAGAGAAAGACCUGUUUUCAUGAGCUCCUGGAAACUGAGCUCUUGGGAUGUCCUGACUGAUAAAACAUUUUCCAUGCCAUUGUAUAAGAUCUAAACCUGUGUGUUUAAUAUCAUACAGUUAUUAUGAGCUUAAAGUACAUGCUGCCUUGACAUUGGGAGAGCUCCAAAUGGCCUCUCUGCGUGUUCCCAUCCCCUCUGCUCCUGUGGGGAGCAUUCCAGCCAAACCACCCUCCUUAUCAAAGGGACCAAGCACAGUUCCUGCUUACCCCUGAGUAGUGAGUUUCAACUCCUGAUAGCCUAAAGAAUUAUUCAAACAAGUCAAGCACAUUUUCCUUGGAGAACCAGGGGCCUUCUCAGCCUCUUGAUACCACAACGUUGAGCACAGAGGUGCUCACAAAAGAGGGAUGGUCCAAUGCCCCAUGUAUAGUACAAGAUCCUGCCCACUGUCUCUGUUAAUUAUCUUUGGGUGGGUGGUGUCCUCGGAACUGUGAGGACCUGUGGCUGUUACCUGCUCUUGAACUCUUCAGUCCAGUUUCGGGGUGUCUU